GAUGAACGCUGGCGGCGUGCCUAAUACAUGCAAGUCGAGCGAAAAGACGAGGAGUUUGCUCCUCUGACGUUAGCGGCGGAGGGGUGAGUAACACGUGGAUACCCUACUUAUCAGACUGGGAUAUCUUCGGGAAACCGGCGCUAAUACCGUAUAAUCUAUUGCACCGCAUGGUGCAAUAGUGAAAGUCGGUUUUGCUGGCACUUCUCGAUGGUUCCGCGCCGCAUUAGCUAGUUGGUACGGUAACGGGUUACGAAGGCGACUAUGCGUAGCCGACCGGACGGAGUGGUCGGCCACACGGGAGCGUAGACACGCUCCAUAGUCCUACGAGAGGCAGCAGUAGGCAACCGGACGCAGUAGGCGAAAGCCUGACGGAGCGACGGCGCGUCAGAUGUGGAGGCCUUGGGAUCGUAAUACUCUGUUACUAGGGGAGAACAAAUUUGUAAGUUACUGUGCACGUCUUGACGGUACCGAAUCAGAAAGCCCCGGCUAACUACGUG
This 497-nucleotide ribosomal RNA is filed under the name uncultured bacterium. Its description in RNAcentral is "partial 16S ribosomal RNA". It matches the Rfam family "Bacterial small subunit ribosomal RNA", at positions 28 to 507 of the family's 1533-position model. The record is from RNAcentral.